RNAcentral lists this unclassified non-coding RNA (219 nucleotides) under Hevea brasiliensis (rubber tree). The record is from RNAcentral. Lineage: Eukaryota; Viridiplantae; Streptophyta; Magnoliopsida; Malpighiales; Euphorbiaceae.
AUUUGUGACAACAUGAUAAAAGUGCUUACGAAAACGUAAUCGGCAUAACAAAGAUUUGCAGAAUCCUUCCUCCAUAUCAGGGUUAUUUUGUAAUGGUUCUAUAUCUUCUGUAACUCUCUUCUUAGACAACGUAGCUUUACAAGCCCGUAAUUGACGAGCAAUUGUUUCUUCGACUGCAUGUAGCAUUGUCAAACAUUUGUCAUCUCCAUCUACCUUUAG